RNAcentral lists this ribosomal RNA (492 nucleotides) under uncultured bacterium. RNAcentral's name for it is "partial 16S ribosomal RNA". It matches the Rfam family "Bacterial small subunit ribosomal RNA", at positions 29 to 507 of the family's 1533-position model. The record is from RNAcentral.
AGUGAACGCUGGCGGUAGGCCUAACACAUGCAAGUCGAACGGCAGCACAGUAAGAGCUUGCUCUUACGGGUGGCGAGUGGCGGACGGGUGAGGAAUACAUCGGAAUCUACUUUUUCGUGGGGGAUAACGUAGGGAAACUUACGCUAAUACCGCAUACGACCUACGGGUGAAAGCAGGGGAUCUUCGGACCUUGCGCGAUUGAAUGAGCCGAUGUCGGAUUAGCUAGUUGGCGGGGUAAAGGCCCACCAAGGCGACGAUCCGUAGCUGGACUGAGAGGAUGAUCAGCCACACUGGAACUGAGACACGGUCAAGACUCCUACGGGAGGCAGCAGUGGGGAAUAUUGGACAAUGGGCGCAAGCCUGAUCCAGCCAUACCGAGUGGGUGAAGAAGGCGUUCGGGUUGUAAAGCCCUUUUGUUGGGAAAGAAAAGCAGCAGGUUAAUACCCCGCUGUUCUGACGGUAACCAAAGAAUAAGCACCGGCUAACUUCGUG